GGGGUUGUGGCUCAGUGGUGGAGUGCUUUUUUUGCACAUAUGAGGCCCUGGGUUUGAUCCUCAGCACCACA
Molecule: transfer RNA, 71 nt
Filed under: Marmota monax (woodchuck)
Lineage: Eukaryota; Metazoa; Chordata; Mammalia; Rodentia; Sciuridae
Description: tRNA.Ala
Rfam family: tRNA
About the family: Transfer RNA (tRNA) molecules are approximately 80 nucleotides in length.
Source: RNAcentral